Molecule: ribosomal RNA, 468 nt
Filed under: uncultured bacterium
Lineage: Bacteria
Description: partial 16S ribosomal RNA
Rfam family: Bacterial small subunit ribosomal RNA
Source: RNAcentral
GACGAACGCUGGCGGCGUGCUUAACACAUGCAAGUCGAACGGAAAGGCCCUGCUUUUGUGGGGUGCUCGAGUGGCGAACGGGUGAGUAACACGUGAGUAACCUGCCCUUGACUUUGGGAUAACUUCAGGAAACUGGGGCUAAUACCGGAUAGGAGCUCCUGCUGCAUGGUGGGGAGUGGAAAGUUUCGGCGGUUGGGGAUGGACUCGCGGCUUAUCAGCUUGUUGGUGGGGUAGUGGCUUACCAAGGCUGUGACGGGUAGCCGGCCUGGGAGGGUGACCGGCGACAUUGGGACUGAGAGACGGACCAGUCUCCUACGGGAGGCAGUGGGGGGGAAUAUUGCACAAUGGGCGGAAGCGUGAUGCAGCAACGUCGCGGUCGGGAUGACGGCUUUCGGGUUGUAAACCGCUUUCGCUUGUGACGAAGCGGUAGUGACGGUAAUGGGUAAAGAAGCACCGGCUAACUACGUG